Long non-coding RNA from Micropterus salmoides (largemouth bass), 418 nucleotides. RefSeq lists it as uncharacterized. Lineage: Eukaryota; Metazoa; Chordata; Actinopteri; Centrarchiformes; Centrarchidae. The transcript is spliced from 3 exons. The record is from RefSeq and is a predicted model, not a curated record.
UCAUACUUACACUAGAUGUGAUAGUUUUUGGGAUGUUCAAUUUAUUAGGCCAGAUGAGCAAACCCUAUCAAGAUGUAAUACAUUGUGGAUUACAGUACAGUAAUGUAUUACAGUCGUAUGCGACUGUGUCAUGUAGCACUUCAUUUAUUGAUGCUGCUGUUGUUUCUCCAGCUACAAGACAGGUCCUGCAACAUCGACACCCUUGAAGAGAAAACCUUUGCAAAUCCCAGCUCUAGCAUUGUCUAGCAUUGGUGCUUCUAGUGGAACAGACCGAGAUGAGCAUCUUGAUGUCAUUCCAGAAGCCACAGAAAUUCAGGGCCUUGAACAAAGCUUACAUGACAUGAGCAUUGUUGAGGAGGACUUGGAGGAAAAUGUUUUCAAUGACCCAAUGAACAGUGUGUAAGUAGUACUUCCUAAU